This 491-nucleotide ribosomal RNA is filed under the name uncultured bacterium. RNAcentral describes it as "partial 16S ribosomal RNA". It matches the Rfam family "Bacterial small subunit ribosomal RNA", at positions 29 to 506 of the family's 1533-position model. The record is from RNAcentral.
AGUGAACGCUGGCGGUAGGCCUAACACAUGCAAGUCGAACGGCAGCACAGUAAGAGCUUGCUCUUACGGGUGGCGAGUGGCGGACGGGUGAGGAAUACAUCGGAAUCUACUUUUUCGUGGGGGAUAACGUAGGGAAACUUACGCUAAUACCGCAUACGACCUACGGGUGAAAGCAGGGGAUCUUCGGACCUUGCGCGAUUGAAUGAGCCGAUGUCGGAUUAGCUAGUUGGCGGGGUAAAGGCCCACCAAGGCGACGAUCCGUAGCUGGUCUGAGAGGAUGAUCAGCCACACUGGAACUGAGACACGGGCCAGACCCCUACGGGAGGCAGCAGGGGGGAAUAUUGGACAAUGGGCGCAAGCCUGAUCCAGCCAUACCGCGUGGGUGAAGAAGGCCUUCGGGUUGUAAAGCCCUUUUGUUGGGAAAGAAAAGCAGCAGGUUAAUACCCCGCUGUUCGGACGGUACCCAAAGAAUAAGCACCGGCUAACUUCGU